Molecule: long non-coding RNA, 223 nt
Organism: Pungitius pungitius (ninespine stickleback)
Lineage: Eukaryota; Metazoa; Chordata; Actinopteri; Perciformes; Gasterosteidae
Exons: 3
Source: RefSeq, a predicted model, not a curated record
AGAAGUUUACCAGCAAACCCGACACCCCGACUGAAGUUACAGAGUAAAGUUGCAGUGACUGACGAAGAAAACGUAACUCAAGCUGCUGGCCACACACGUGGGAACACAACUCUUCGGGAGCCUGUGUAAGAAAAAGGAAAAAAAGUGGGAAUUCCAGAUUCUGACACAAGCUACUGAAGGUCGGGGACUGCAAGCGAUGGAUGGACAACCACGAUGCCGGGAU